This 391-nucleotide ribosomal RNA is filed under the name uncultured bacterium. RNAcentral's name for it is "bacterial SSU rRNA". It matches the Rfam family "Bacterial small subunit ribosomal RNA", at positions 971 to 1425 of the family's 1533-position model. The record is from RNAcentral.
UUACCGGCUUAANUUUGCUAGAGUUCUUCGGCCAAGGUGCUGCAUGGUUGUCGUCAGCUCGUGCCGUGAGGUGUCAGGUUAAGUCCUAUAACGAGCGCAACCCUGUCUUAGUUGCCAGCAUAUGGGACUCUAAGAGACUGCCGGUGCAAACGAGAGGAAGGUGGGGAUGACGUCAAAUCAUCACGGCCCUUACGCCGGGCUACACACGUGCUACAAUGGUGGACAAGAGGCAGGGUGACCGGAGCAAUCUAAAACAAUCACAGUUCGGAUCGAAGUCUGCAACUCGACUUCGUGAAGCUGGAAUCGCUAGUAAUCGCAAUCAGAUGCGCGGUGAAUACGUUCCCGGGCCUUGUACACACCGCCCGUCAAGCCAUGGAAGCUGGGGACCGAA